UCUGGUUUGGCCUAAAGGUUGGGCAGCAGACUGUUAAUCUGCGGGAGCAAUCCCUAUAUAGGUUCGAGUCCUAUAGCCAGAG
This 82-nucleotide transfer RNA is filed under the name Richelia sp. RM2_1_2. Its description in RNAcentral is "tRNA-Asn". It matches the Rfam family "tRNA". From Rfam's summary of the family: Transfer RNA (tRNA) molecules are approximately 80 nucleotides in length. Their secondary structure includes four short double-helical elements and three loops (D, anti-codon, and T loops). Lineage: Bacteria; Bacillati; Cyanobacteriota; Cyanophyceae; Nostocales; Nostocaceae. The record is from RNAcentral.